UUCGCAAUGCCCGAAAGGGUGACGAAGCGACGCCGCGUGGGUGAGGAAGGCCUUCGGGUUGUAAAGCCCUGUCAGGAGUUAAGAAAUGCAGGUGCGCUAAUACCGUAUCUGUUUGACGAAGGCUCCAAAGGAAGCCACGGCUAACUCUGUGCCAGCAGCCGCGGUAAUACAGAGGUGGCAAGCGUUGUUCGGAAUUAUUGGGCGUAAAGAGCACGUAGGUGGAUUUGUAAGUCAGAUGUGAAAGCCUUCUGUUCAACGGAAGAAUUGCUUCUGAAACUGCAAACCUUGAGUAUAGGAGGGGAGAAUGGAACUUCUGGUGGAGCGGUGAAAUGCGUAGAUAUCAGAAGGAACACCGGCGGCGAAAGCGAUUCUCUGGCCUAUAUCUGACACUCAGUGUGCGAAAGCUAGGGGAGCAAACGGGAUUAGAUACCCCGGUAGUCCUAGCCGUAAACGAUGGGCACUAAGUAGAGGGGUUUU
RNAcentral lists this ribosomal RNA (477 nucleotides) under uncultured anaerobic ammonium-oxidizing bacterium. RNAcentral describes it as "bacterial SSU rRNA". It matches the Rfam family "Bacterial small subunit ribosomal RNA", at positions 365 to 832 of the family's 1533-position model. The record is from RNAcentral.